GACGAACGCUGGCGGCGUGCUUAACACAUGCAAGUCGAACGGUGAAGCGCUUUCCUUUUUGGUUGGUGUGGAUGAGUGGCGAACGGGUGAGUAACACGUGAGUAACCUGCCCCCUUCUUCUGGAUAACCGCAUGAAAGUGUGGCUAAUACGGGAUAUUCUGCGCCUGCUGCAUGGUGGGUGUGGAAAAGAUUGUGCCUUUGGGUGUUUUCGGUGGGGGAUGGGCUCGCGGCCUAUCAGCUUGUUGGUGGGGUGAUGGCCUACCAAGGCGGUGACGGGUAGCCGGCCUGAGAGGGUGGACGGUCACACUGGGACUGAGACACGGACCAGACUCCUACGGGAGGCAGCAGUGGGGAAUAUUGCACAAUGGGCGCAAGCCUGAUGCAGCGACGCCGCGUGAGGGAUGGAGGCCUUCGGGUUGUGAACCUCUUUCGCCAGUGAAGCAGGCCUGCUCCUUGUGGGUGGGUUGACGGUAGCUGGAUAAGAAGCGCCGGCUAACUACGUG
This 503-nucleotide ribosomal RNA is filed under the name uncultured bacterium. RNAcentral's name for it is "partial 16S ribosomal RNA". It matches the Rfam family "Bacterial small subunit ribosomal RNA", at positions 28 to 507 of the family's 1533-position model. The record is from RNAcentral.